AGAGUUUGAUCAUGGCUCAGAUUGAACGCUGGCGGCAGGCCUAACACAUGCAAGUCGAGCGGAUGACAGGAGCUUGCUCCUGGAUUCAGCGGCGGACGGGUGAGUAAUGCCUAGGAAUCUGCCUGGUAGUGGGGGACAACGUUUCGAAAGGAACGCUAAUACCGCAUACGUCCUACGGGAGAAAGCAGGGGACCUUCGGGCCUUGCGCUAUCAGAUGAGCCUAGGUCGGAUUAGCUUGUUGGUGAGGUAAUGGCUCACCAAGGCGACGAUCCGUAACUGGUCUGAGAGGAUGAUCAGUCCCACUGGAACUGAGACACGGUCCAGACUCCUACGGGAGGCAGC
RNAcentral lists this ribosomal RNA (342 nucleotides) under uncultured bacterium. RNAcentral's name for it is "bacterial SSU rRNA". It matches the Rfam family "Bacterial small subunit ribosomal RNA", at positions 8 to 352 of the family's 1533-position model. The record is from RNAcentral.